RNAcentral lists this ribosomal RNA (62 nucleotides) under Caenispirillum bisanense. RNAcentral describes it as "16S rRNA. Bacterial SSU". The record is from RNAcentral. Lineage: Bacteria; Pseudomonadati; Pseudomonadota; Alphaproteobacteria; Rhodospirillales; Novispirillaceae.
AUCAACAUGAGAGUUUGAUCCUGGCUCAGAACGAACGCUGGCGGCAGGCCUAACACAUGCAA